RNAcentral lists this ribosomal RNA (406 nucleotides) under Vibrio parahaemolyticus. RNAcentral's name for it is "bacterial LSU rRNA". It matches the Rfam family "Bacterial large subunit ribosomal RNA", at positions 1512 to 1898 of the family's 2925-position model. The record is from RNAcentral. Lineage: Bacteria; Pseudomonadati; Pseudomonadota; Gammaproteobacteria; Vibrionales; Vibrionaceae.
UCAAGUGCGUAGGCUUAAGAGUUAGGUAAAUCCGGCUCUUUUUAAGGCUGAGACACGACGUCGAGCACCUACGGGUGUGAAGUCAUUGAUGCCAUGCUUCCAGGAAAAGCCUCUAAGCUUCAGAUUGUAAGGAAUCGUACCCCAAACCGACACAGGUGGUCGGGUAGAGAAUACCAAGGCGCUUGAGAGAACUCGGGUGAAGGAACUAGGCAAAAUGGUACCGUAACUUCGGGAGAAGGUACGCUCUCGACGGUGAAGUCCCUCGCGGAUGGAGCUAUUGAGAGUCGCAGAUACCAGGUGGCUGCAACUGUUUAUUAAAAACACAGCACUGUGCAAAAUCGUAAGAUGACGUAUACGGUGUGACGCCUGCCCGGUGCCGGAAGGUUAAUUGAUGGGGUUAGACUUC